RNAcentral lists this ribosomal RNA (1253 nucleotides) under Strongyloides stercoralis. Its description in RNAcentral is "SSU rRNA". It matches the Rfam family "Eukaryotic small subunit ribosomal RNA", at positions 138 to 1467 of the family's 1831-position model. Lineage: Eukaryota; Metazoa; Nematoda; Chromadorea; Rhabditida; Strongyloididae. The record is from RNAcentral.
GUUGGAUAACUGAGGUAAUUCUUGAGCUAAUACACGCUAUUUAUACCACAUUAGUGGUGCGUUUAUUUGAUUAAACCAUUUUAUAUUGGUUGACUCAAAAUAUCCUCGCUGAUUUUGUUACUAAAACAUACCGUAUGUGUAUCUGGUUUAUCAACUUUCGAUGGUAGGGUAUUGGCCUACCAUGGUUGUGACGGAUAACGGAGAAUUAGGGUUCGACUCCGGAGAGGGAGCCUGAGAAACGGCUACCACAUCCAAGGAAGGCAGCAGGCGCGAAAAUUACCCAAUUUUAGUUAAAAGAGGUAGUGACGAAAAAUGACAACCAAAUAUUAUUAUUAAUAUUUGGAUUGAAAAUCUUCAAGUAUAAAUAACUUGUUGGUAAAGGAAAGGGCAAGUCUGGUGCCAGCAGCCGCGGUAAUACCAGCUUUCCAAGUGCAUAAAAUGAUUGUUGUGGUUAAAAAGCUCGUAGUUGGAUUAUAAAGAUUGUAUAAUGAGCAUCUUGGAUGUUAUUUAAUCAUUAUCAUCUUAUAUUUUUAUUAUAUUAGAAAUAAUAUAAUAACUGUUACUUUGAAUAAAUCAGAGGGUUUAAACCAGACAUUAUAUGUUUGUAUGGUCUAGCAUGGAAUAACACUAUAGAAAAAUUUAGUGUGGUUUCACUUAAUUUUUCAUGAUUAAUAGGAACAAACGGGGGCAUUCGUAUCGCUACGUUAGAGGUGAAAUUCUUGGACCGUAGCGAGACGUCCUACUGCGAAAGCAUUUGCCAAGAAUGUUUUCAUUAAUCAAGAACGAAAGUUAGAGGUUCGAAGGCGAUCAGAUACCGCCCUAGUUCUAACCGUAAACUAUGCCUACUAGAUGUAUGAAUUAUUAGUUAUAAUAAUUUAUGCAUCUUCUCGGAAACGAAAGUCUUUCGGUUCCGGGGGAAGUAUGGUUGCAAAGCUGAAACUUAAAGGAAUUGACGGAAGGGCACCACCAGGAGUGGAGCCUGCGGCUUAAUUUGACUCAACACGGGAAAACUCACCCGGGCCGGACACUAUAAGGAUUGACAGAUUGAUAGCUCUUUCAUGAUUUAGUGGUUGGUGGUGCAUGGCCGUUCUUAGUUCGUGGAUAUGAUUUGUCUGGUUGAUUCCGAUAACGAGCGAGACUUUUAUGUUAUAUUAAAUAUUAUUAUUUUGUUUAUUUUAAUAUAAAUAAUUAAUAUUUUAAUAACAGAUUAAUAGUGUUUAACUAUUUGAGAGAGAGCGAUAACAGGUCUGUGA